This 274-nucleotide ribosomal RNA is filed under the name uncultured bacterium. RNAcentral describes it as "partial 16S ribosomal RNA". It matches the Rfam family "Bacterial small subunit ribosomal RNA", at positions 523 to 796 of the family's 1533-position model. The record is from RNAcentral.
AUACAGAGGGUGCGAGCGUUAAUCGGAAUUACUAGGCGUAAAGCGCGCGUAGGCGGCUUGGUCAGUCGGAUGUGAAAGCCCCGGGCUCAACCUGGGAAUGGCAUUCGAUACUGCCAGGCUAGAGUAUGGGAGAGGGAAGUGGAAUUUCCGGUGUAGCGGUGAAAUGCGUAGAUAUCGGAAGGAACACCAGUGGCGAAGGCGACUUCCUGGCCCAAUACUGACGCUGAGGUGCGAAAGCGUGGGGAGCGAACAGGAUUAGAAACCCUAGUAGUCC